RNAcentral lists this non-coding RNA (21 nucleotides) under Arabidopsis thaliana (thale cress). Lineage: Eukaryota; Viridiplantae; Streptophyta; Magnoliopsida; Brassicales; Brassicaceae. The record is from RNAcentral.
UAAGAGAGUGCCACAUGUCCA